This 233-nucleotide ribosomal RNA is filed under the name uncultured bacterium. RNAcentral's name for it is "partial 16S ribosomal RNA". It matches the Rfam family "Bacterial small subunit ribosomal RNA", at positions 124 to 353 of the family's 1533-position model. The record is from RNAcentral.
ACCUGCCUUAUAGUGGGGGAUAGCCUUUCGAAAGGAAGAUUAAUACCGCAUAAGAUUGUAGUAUCGCAUGAUAUAGCAAUUAAAGGAGCAAUUCGCUAUAAGAUGGACCCGCGUCGCAUUAGCUAGUUGGUGAGGUAAUGGCUCACCAAGGCGACGAUGCGUAGCCGACCUGAGAGGGUGAUCGGCCACAUUGGGACUGAGACACGGCCCAGACUCCUACGGGAGGCAGCAUG